Long non-coding RNA from Rosa rugosa (rugosa rose), 861 nucleotides. RefSeq lists it as uncharacterized. The record is from RefSeq and is a predicted model, not a curated record. NCBI's taxonomy places the organism in Eukaryota, Viridiplantae, Streptophyta, Magnoliopsida, Rosales, Rosaceae. The transcript is spliced from 3 exons.
CCAGAUUCACAACACAUGACUGGGGUCGGGGACAUCCCCACAGCCCGAUUGUGCUGAAGAGGUUGGUUGGAUAUGGACAGCAGAGGCCAGAGGUCGUGGAAAUCGAAUAAACCCAAGAUCUAACCAUCUCUGGUUCGAGUUGCGACGCUGAGAUUCCUCCGUCGCCUGUCCGGAGCGACUACAAUCUGGAUUUUGUUGGGUAUUUGGGGCAGAAUCAUAGUGUUCAAGAUUUUUGCCCCUUUAAUCAAUGCUGGUGUUGCCUAGAUCAAAGCUCAGGAUUCAACAAAGCUCUGUAGAAUUGGAGGCCUUCUUGACCCAUGUAUGCAAGACAAGAACACUGCUUACAUUGAUGCAUUUGGGUGCCCGUGGAAGUCAUGGCUCAGAAUGAAAAUGCCACCGUUUCGUCUAGGAGGCCGAGUGAAUAUUGGAGCUUUAUUUACUAAUUUAAACAUUGGAAGGUAGGCCAAACCAGCAAUCCUAGCCCCAAUUGAUGAAGUUAAUUCUGAUUCAAAGAAUUGGAGGUUGAAGGUGGGAGGACCAUGGUGAUGGGAAGAGAUGAAAUAAAUUUGUGGGUAAAUGGAAUUGGAGGUAAAUGAAAUUGCACAAGCGGGAAACUUGAAAUAUUCUGAGCCGACGAACGCGGCAUGUUGAAUUGAGCUCCAGUCCUUUCUUAGAGCUUUAUUGUAUGUGUGAGAGAGAUUUUUUUUUUUUUAGAAAAAUAAAUAUAAGUGAUUUUUAUUGAUUUUUUUUAUAGAUAAUGAUAAUCACAUAAAUGAUUAUUAAAUCGGUAAUUGUCAAUUAAUCGUAAGUUUUAGGUUUGAACUAUUGAUGAGUCCCCGUUCUAUCUCAAAGUCUUCUGAA